This 1397-nucleotide long non-coding RNA is filed under the name Homo sapiens (human). RNAcentral's name for it is "non-protein coding lnc-SNAP25-2:2". The record is from RNAcentral. Lineage: Eukaryota; Metazoa; Chordata; Mammalia; Primates; Hominidae.
UAGGCAUUAAGGACAAAUUUUAUUUUAUGAUUUUCAUUUCGGUGAGUCACAAGAUAUUCAACACAAAAUGAAACUUCACAAAAUUUCACAAAAUGAAAAAUUCAUUUCAGAUUCAAUAUCCACCUCCAUCAUCCAUAUUCAUUCUUCCAAUGUCUCAGGCCAGAAAUUUGGAGUAUGUGGCUUCUCCACCUCACACAAUUUGCCCUAACUUUAAUAUAUACUCAGAAAUUACUGGCUUUUCACUGUUUCUAUGAUUCCCAUGUGUAAUAUACAAUACUCACCAUGCAUACAAUAAUACAAUAAUUCUGUGUCACAACCACACCUAAAUUGGUAAGUUUAUAAGGUUAUAAGCUGAGAGGUUUUGCUGAUCUUGGCUGAGCUCAGCUGGGCAGGUCUUCCGGUCUUGGCUGGGGUUCACUGACACACAAGCAGCUGACAGUUGGCUGAUCUAGGAUGGCCUCAGCUGGGAUGACAGGCUGUUUCCUCACCUUCCAGCAGGCAAGCCAGUCCCAAGAAAGAGAAGGGUGAAACAUGGAGGCCAUUAAUUGAGCCCAUCGCAUGAAACGCAUCUGUGACACCAUCACCGUCUGAUAUCAACUCUCACCUGGAUGUUUGCAAUCGCCUAACUUUUCUCCUUUCAUUCACUAUGCUGCCUUACAAACCUAUUCUCCACAAAUCAGCUAGAGCAAACCUUUUAAAUCCUAAGUAGAAUGCUACCAUUCCUCUGCUCAAACUACUGGAGAGGAGAUGCCACAGUCUUUACUAUGGUCUUCAAGACCCUAUGGGAGGUAGCCCUGUCUUACAACCAUAGCCUCCUACCACUGCCCCAACAUGCACACUGAGUUCCGGCCACAGCAUCUGCUUCCUCUUUAUUGAUCUGCCAAGGACAUGAAUGACUCAGAAUCUCAAACUUAUUCUUCCCUCAGAAUCCACUGAGCCUACUCCCUCUUUUUCUCAAAUGGCAACUUCUCAGAGAUGCCUUCUCUGGCUAACGUAUAUGUACUAAAACCUCCAUCCAGCACUCUAUGUCAUCCUUACUAUGGUUUAUUUUUCUUCAUAGCACCUAUCAAUUGGUGAAGUAUUAAAUAUGCAUUUUUGUUUGUAUGCAUCUCUCUCCCCGCACCAGUAUGUGAACUCCACCAGACUGGAGAGCGUGUUUAUUUUGUUCACUGCUGUAACUCCAGUGUCUAGAACAGUGCCUGGCACACAGUAGGUGUUUAAUAAUGAUUUGUUAAGCUAAGCCAAUGAAUAAAUAUUCUUUUGCCCAUGAGAUGAUGUUAAAAAUUUUUCAAUUAUUCAUAACUGCCUGUAAGGAAUGAAUGUUAGUGAAUUACUGUGAUACCAAUGAAAGUUAAAUGAUGCAAUGAAGAUUGGGUGGAUCACAAGGUCAGGAGUUU